CUGGAGUGGGUUGCCAUGUGGGGAAUCUUCCAGACCCUGCCAUCUCCUGCAUUGAGGGAUUGAAAAGGCAGUGUGCCAUAGUGGGAAGAGUUCAGACUCUGCAACAAAGGAGCUGGGUUUGAAUUCAGCUCUAUCAUCUACUAGGAUUACUGCCUGCUGAUGAUGCUGAUUGAAAGUAAGACUAUGCCCUGAUCUUGAAAUCUUGCAGUUGUUUGUGGUCAAGGCUAUUGGAUACAAUGGACAUUCAAGUCUGGACUUCUUUUUAUUAGUUGCAAACUAUAAACAUGAAAUAUUGUGCUUAAAAAGUGGUGUUUGGAUAAACUAGUUUUUGUAGAUUAUCCUGAUCAUUAGGAUAUGUUGAAUAAAAGGAAAUAUUUCUUUUGUUGGGCAGGCCUAAAUAGGCAAAUUAGAUACUCUUCUUUUAUGUGAGAUUAUAUAAAACAUGCAGAAUACAUUUGAUUAUCGUUCAAAUUUUUCACUUUACAUUAAUGAUGAAAUUAAUUUGAAUUGACUAAUAAACUAAUAAAAUAUCACAUCAAAAAUAAUUUUAAUAUUCUUGUGUUCCAGCUGAUGUUACUGAAUCUUAUCUUUUCCUAAAAACCAACUAAACUAGAAAUACUUUUUAAACUCUGUACUGUCUAAAAUUAUGCUUUAAUUUUUAAAAUAAGUCUCCAAAUUUCUAUUUGCUAUCAAAUAAAAAUGUCAUUUAAAAAAUUUUUGUUUUGCCAUGUUGUGUCAUGCCAUUCUUACCUUCAGGGGCCUUGAAAUGUAGGUAAUUUUAUUUGUAGAUUAAUAAAGUCAGAGUAAUUAUAUCAACAAAAGCACUGAACCAAGAGCCUGGGGAUUUGGUACUGAGUGCUGUGGUUCUCACCUACCCAACACAAGAUAUAGGAUGUAUUUCAUACUUUCUCUGAGUCAUUUCUCUGUGGGUAAGGUAAAACAGUUACAUCAAUGAAUGGUUCCGUUCAGUUCAGUUGCUCAGUCGUGUCCGACUCUUUGCGACCCCGUGGACAGCAGCAUGCCAGGCCUCCCUGUCCAUCACCAGCUCAGUAGGAAUGUUAAAAUAAGAAGUAUAUUAAAGGCAGAGAGACAUCUGCAAUGAAUUGAAUUCAAAUCCCAACCUUCUACUCACGAUAUUAAAAAUGAAACUUCAGGAUUUUUGUUUUCAACAUCAGUAACUUUUGUAAGUUGGUAGUAAAGAGUAGAAAUGUAGUAUGUAAAGCCUUCUCUCAAUGUUUGGAAUGUAGGUAAUUAAAAUAGACACCUCUUGUAAAGUACUUACCAUGUACUAAGGCUGAACAUGUAUAUAGAUAUAGUCAUUGCAUUUAUUCCUUAAAUCCAACUGAUAAAAUAUUAACAUUGUCCUUUUCAGAUGAAAAGCCUAACGCCUUCUCCAGAAUUUUUAAAACCUGCUCAAUGUUCCAUAGCUAGAACAUGUAUGGUAGAGGAAUGAAAAGCACCCUGAUCUCUUUGGAUUCAAGAUUCAAGUUUUUAUUAUUCACAAUAGCCAAGAUAUGGAAACACUCAAUGUCCAUCAACAGAGGAAUGGAUA
Molecule: long non-coding RNA, 1552 nt
Organism: Bubalus bubalis (water buffalo)
Lineage: Eukaryota; Metazoa; Chordata; Mammalia; Artiodactyla; Bovidae
Exons: 3
Source: RefSeq, a predicted model, not a curated record